CCUUCUUCUGUGGUGUUCUCUGUUUUGGGUGUAAAUACAGGCUCAACACUCGAUGAGCUUUGUACGAUCUUUUUGAUGGGGAUCGUCUCAAGCUCUACAGUUCGUCUUGUCAACUUUGUCAGAAGGCAUUUAAUAAGAAAGGCCGAGCUGAUGAGUAGUAGAUAAGAAGACUCGAGUUUUUCUUUUUCUUUUUUUUGUAAAGGUGAGACUGUAUUCAACUUCAAAUCAAGUUAUACAAGAGGCUUCGGUGUCAAAACUACACUCGUAAUGACAACAUGUCAAAGCGAGUAGAAGGAAGCCGAAAGAAAAACGAGGAAAAUCACACAACAAAGAGGACCAAAAACAAGCAGGAACAAAACGGCCUAAAACAACAGGCAAAAAGCACCCCGCACACGAACGGCAACUAUGGCAGCAACAAGACCGGAAGACGCAGGAGCCCGCGACCGCAAGACCGCAUCCGCCACUCCAAGAAAGCAAAUCAGCCAAACGCCAAAAGGGAGGAGCCACCAACGAGAACCGCAGCGGCCCAGCGCAGCCCGAAUCAGCCAACCGCGUCCACCGUGCAAAGAGGCCACGCGCAGGGAGAGAAUACUUGAGUUGUUGAAAGCCAAAGAAGAUGUCCCAGACUCCCAGUAUUUAUAGAGAAAAUGUUAAGGAGUUUCUGACCCCACGCCGCGAUUAU
RNAcentral lists this long non-coding RNA (682 nucleotides) under Eucalyptus grandis. RNAcentral's name for it is "long non-coding RNA (EGRA_LNC005215)". Lineage: Eukaryota; Viridiplantae; Streptophyta; Magnoliopsida; Myrtales; Myrtaceae. The record is from RNAcentral.